This 250-nucleotide ribosomal RNA is filed under the name uncultured bacterium. Its description in RNAcentral is "partial 16S ribosomal RNA". It matches the Rfam family "Bacterial small subunit ribosomal RNA", at positions 358 to 605 of the family's 1533-position model. The record is from RNAcentral.
GGAAUAUUGGGCAAUGGACGCAAGUCUGACCCAGCCAUGCCGCGUGCAGGAUGAAGGCCCUAUGGGUUGUAAACUGCUUUUCUACGGGAAGAAACUCCCCGACGUGUCGGGGACCGACGGUAUCGUAGGAAUAAGGAUCGGCUAACUCCGUGCCAGCAGCCGCGGUAAUACGGAGGAUCCAAGCGUUGUCCGGAUUUAUUGGGUUUAAAGGGUGCGUAGGCGGAUAAUUAAGUCAGUGGUGAAAGCCUUC